Molecule: ribosomal RNA, 497 nt
Filed under: uncultured bacterium
Lineage: Bacteria
Description: partial 16S ribosomal RNA
Rfam family: Bacterial small subunit ribosomal RNA
Source: RNAcentral
GAUGAACGCUGGCGGCGUGCCUAAUACAUGCAAGUCGAGCGAACGGACGAGAAGCUUGCUUUUCUGAUGUUAGCGGCGGACGGGUGAGUAACACGUGGAUAACCUACCUAUAAGACUGGGAUAACUUCGGGAAACCGGAGCUAAUACCGGAUAAUAUUUUGAACCGCAUGGUUCAAAAGUGAAAGACGGUCUUGCUGUCACUUAUAGAUGGAUCCGCGCUGCAUUAGCUAGUUGGUAAGGUAACGGCUUACCAAGGCAACGAUGCAUAGCCGACCUGAGAGGGUGAUCGGCCACACUGGAACUGAGACACGGUCCAGACUCCUACGGGAGGCAGCAGUAGGGAAUCUUCCGCAAUGGGCGAAAGCCUGACGGAGCAACGCCGCGUGGGUGAUGAAGGUCUUCGGAUCGUAAAACUCUGUUAUUAGGGAAGAACAUAUGUGUAAGUAACUGUGCACAUCUUGACGGUACCUAAUCAGAAAGCCCCGGCUAACUACGUG